Molecule: non-coding RNA, 206 nt
Organism: Pelobates cultripes (western spadefoot toad)
Lineage: Eukaryota; Metazoa; Chordata; Amphibia; Anura; Pelobatidae
Source: the annotation of a GenBank genome assembly
AUUAUAUUCACUGGGUCAUAUGCUGUUAUUUCAAGAGCUUUCCUUACAGCCUCUAAAUCAGCUCUCUGAGCAGACAUAUGGCCUGGCAAUUUAAAUCUCUGCAUUUCUUUUGUUUUAUCAUCAUAAAUGGCAUAACCUGUAUGAUGUGAUCCAUCAGCAUAAAAUCUCGUUCCAUCCACAUACAAACAAGGAGCCCCUUGUAUUGC